CGCGUAGGCGGCCUGUUAAGUCGAACGUGAAAUCCCCGGGCUCAACCCGGGAACUGCGUCCGAUACUGGCAGGCUUGAAUUCGGGAGAGGGAUGCGGAAUUCCAGGUGUAGCGGUGAAAUGCGUAGAUAUCUGGAGGAACGACCGGUGGCGAAGGCGGCAUCCUGGACCGAGAUUGACGCUGAGGCGCGAAAGCCAGGGGAGCAAACG
This 208-nucleotide ribosomal RNA is filed under the name uncultured bacterium. RNAcentral's name for it is "partial 16S ribosomal RNA". It matches the Rfam family "Bacterial small subunit ribosomal RNA", at positions 568 to 774 of the family's 1533-position model. The record is from RNAcentral.